This 465-nucleotide ribosomal RNA is filed under the name Vreelandella stevensii. Its description in RNAcentral is "partial 16S ribosomal RNA". It matches the Rfam family "Bacterial small subunit ribosomal RNA", at positions 338 to 795 of the family's 1533-position model. The record is from RNAcentral. Lineage: Bacteria; Pseudomonadati; Pseudomonadota; Gammaproteobacteria; Oceanospirillales; Halomonadaceae.
CCUACGGGGGGCUGCAGUGGGGAAUAUUGGACAAUGGGGGGAACCCUGAUCCAGCCAUGCCGCGUGUGUGAAGAAGGCCCUCGGGUUGUAAAGCACUUUCAGUGAGGAAGAACGCCUGGUGGUUAAUACCCAUCAGGAAAGACAUCACUCACAGAAGAAGCACCGGCUAACUCCGUGCCAGCAGCCGCGGUAAUACGGAGGGUGCGAGCGUUAAUCGGAAUUACUGGGCGUAAAGCGCGCGUAGGUGGCUUGAUAAGCCGGUUGUGAAAGCCCCGGGCUCAACCUGGGAACGGCAUCCGGAACUGUCAAGCUAGAGUGCAGGAGAGGAAGGUAGAAUUCCCGGUGUAGCGGUGAAAUGCGCAGAGAUCGGGAGGAAUACCAGUGGCGAAGGCGGCCUUCUGGACUGACACUGACACUGAGGUGCGAAAGCGUGGGUAGCAAACAGGAUUAGAUACCCUAGUAGUC